AACGAACGCUGGCGGCAUGCCUAACACAUGCAAGUCGAACGAGACCUUCGGGUCUAUUGGCGCACGGGUGCGUAACGCGUGGGAACCUGCCCUUAGGUUCGGAAUAACUCCCCGAAAGGGGUGCUAAUACCGGAUAAUGUCUUCGGACCAAAGAUUUAUCGCCUUUGGAUGUGCCCGCGUUGGAUUAGCUUGUUGGUAGGGUAAAAGCAUACCAAGGCGACGAUCCAUAGCUGGUCUGAGAGGAUGAUCAGCCACACUGGGACUGAGACACGGCCCAGACUACUACGGGAGGAAGCAGUGGGGAAUAUUGGAAAAUGGGCGAAAGCCUGAUAAAGCAAUGCCGCGUGAGUGAUGAAGGCAUUAGGGUUGUAAAGCUAUUUUACAAGGGAUGAUAAUGACAGUACCGGGAGAAUAAGCACCGGCUAACUCCGUG
This 433-nucleotide ribosomal RNA is filed under the name uncultured bacterium. RNAcentral describes it as "partial 16S ribosomal RNA". It matches the Rfam family "Bacterial small subunit ribosomal RNA", at positions 29 to 507 of the family's 1533-position model. The record is from RNAcentral.